AGCAUAGAGUAGCAAUACUUUGAUGGCGACCGGCGCACGGGUGAGUAACACGUAUGCAACCUACCUACAUCAGGGGAAUAACCCGGAGAAAUUCGGACUAAUACCGCAUAAUACAGGGAUGCCGCAUGGCAAUAUUUGUUAAAGAUUUAUCGGAUGUAGAUGGGCAUGCGUUCCAUUAGCUGGUUGGUGAGGUAACGGCUCACCAAGGCAACGAUGGAUAGGGGAACUGAGAGGUUUGUCCCCCACACUGGAACUGAGACACGGACCAGACUCCUACGGGAGGCAGCAGUGAGGAAUAUUGGUCAAUGGACGAGAGUCUGAACCAGCCAAAUCGCGUGAAGGAAGACUGCCCUACGGGUUGUAAACUUCUUUUGUACAGGAAUAAAAGACAUUACGUGUAAUGUAUUGCAUGUACUGUACGAAUAAGCAUCGGCUAACUCCGUGCCAGCAGCCGCGGUAAUACGGAGGAUGCGAGCGUUAUCCGGAUUUAUUGGGUUUAAAGGGUGCGCAGGCGGGAUUUUAAGUCAGCGGUGAAAUUUUCAGGCUCAACCUGAACACUGCCGUUGAAACUGGGAUUCUUGAGUAUGGAUGAAGUAGGCGGAAUUCGUUGUGUAGCGGUGACAUGCUUAGAUAUAACGAGGAACUCCGAUUGCGUAGGCAGCUUACUAAGCCAUAACUGACGCUCAAGCACGAAAGCGUGGGGAUCAAACAGGAUUAGAUACCCUGGUAGUCCACGCCGUAAACGAUGAUUACUAGUUGUUUGCGAUAUACCGUAAGUGACUAAGCGAAAGCGAUAAGUA
RNAcentral lists this ribosomal RNA (800 nucleotides) under uncultured Bacteroidota bacterium. Its description in RNAcentral is "bacterial SSU rRNA". It matches the Rfam family "Bacterial small subunit ribosomal RNA", at positions 68 to 866 of the family's 1533-position model. The record is from RNAcentral. Lineage: Bacteria; Pseudomonadati; Bacteroidota.